AUGCUGCUUGUGAGCUCAAUCUGGCAGAUCCUGCCCCAUUUGGAACCUGGUUGUGAGCAAGAAAACAUCUGUGGUCGGAAAGUGGGGGCAGUGAUUCAGGCCUGUUUGGGACUCGGAGAGGAUGUCCUUGAACCCUCUACUCAGGAAACAGCUCCCUCCCACAAGGAUGUGAGAGGUCAUCUGUCUGUCUACUUUGACACUUUCACCCAGUGACCUUCAGGGCUUCAGACACCUUCCCGCCUUUGCAGACAUUGUGGUCAUGAUCUGACUGCUGAGCACUUUAGAAUCUAUCAUCAAGAGCCACAACAGACCUACAAGAAUCCAUACCUACACCUGAAACUCAUGUAAGUCACCUAUCCUCAAAUAAAUAAAAUAAAAUAAAAUAAAAUAAAAUAAAA
RNAcentral lists this long non-coding RNA (398 nucleotides) under Canis lupus dingo (dingo). RNAcentral's name for it is "lncRNA (ENSCAFG00020020367.1)". Lineage: Eukaryota; Metazoa; Chordata; Mammalia; Carnivora; Canidae. The record is from RNAcentral.